GACAGAGGGUGCGAACGUUGCUCGGAAUUACUGGGCGUAAAGCGCGUGUAGGCGGGUUCGUGUGUCAGGUGUGAAAUCCCCGGGCUCAACCCGGGAACUGCAUCUGAAACUGCGAGUCUUGAGUGACGGAGAGGGCAGCGGAAUUCCUGGUGUAGAGGUGAAAUUCGUAGAUAUCAGGAGGAACACCGGUGGCGAAGGCGGCUGCCUGGACGUCUACUGACGCUGAGACGCGAAAGCGUGGGGAGCAAACAGG
Molecule: ribosomal RNA, 253 nt
Filed under: uncultured bacterium
Lineage: Bacteria
Description: partial 16S ribosomal RNA
Rfam family: Bacterial small subunit ribosomal RNA
Source: RNAcentral